CCGUACCAAGGCGAUGAUGCAUAGCCCGAGUUGAGAGACUGAUCGGGCCACAUUGGGACUGAGACACGGGCCCAAACUCCUACGGGAGGCAGCAGUAGGGGGAAUCUUCCACAAUGGACGCAAAGUCUGAUGGAGCAAAACGCCGCGUGAGUGAAGAAGGGUUUCGGCUCGUAAAAGCUCUGUUGUUGGUGAGAAGGACAGGGGUAGUAACUGACCCUUUGUUUGACGGUAAUCAAUUUAGAAAGUCACGGGCUAACUACGUGCCCAGCAGCCGCGGUAAAU
This 282-nucleotide ribosomal RNA is filed under the name uncultured Lactobacillus sp. RNAcentral describes it as "partial 16S ribosomal RNA". It matches the Rfam family "Bacterial small subunit ribosomal RNA", at positions 263 to 525 of the family's 1533-position model. Lineage: Bacteria; Bacillati; Bacillota; Bacilli; Lactobacillales; Lactobacillaceae. The record is from RNAcentral.